ACUCCUACGGGAGGCAGCAGUGGGGAAUAUUGCACAAUGGGCGCAAGCCUGAUGCAGCCAUGCCGCGUGUGUGAAGAAGGCCUUAGGGUUGUAAAGCACUUUCAGCGAGGAGGAAAGGGUNUGUGCUAAUACCAUACAUCUGUGACGUUACUCGCAGAGAAGCACCGCUAACUCCGUGCCAGCAGCCGCGGUAAUACGGAGGGUGCGAGCGUUAAUCGGAAUUACUGGGCGUAAAGCGUGCGCAGGCGGUUUGUUAAGCGAGAUGUGAAAGCCCCGGGCUCAACUGG
This 287-nucleotide ribosomal RNA is filed under the name uncultured bacterium. RNAcentral's name for it is "partial 16S ribosomal RNA". It matches the Rfam family "Bacterial small subunit ribosomal RNA", at positions 335 to 616 of the family's 1533-position model. The record is from RNAcentral.